This 669-nucleotide ribosomal RNA is filed under the name Streptomyces sp. 93(2010). Its description in RNAcentral is "bacterial SSU rRNA". It matches the Rfam family "Bacterial small subunit ribosomal RNA", at positions 87 to 770 of the family's 1533-position model. Lineage: Bacteria; Bacillati; Actinomycetota; Actinomycetes; Kitasatosporales; Streptomycetaceae. The record is from RNAcentral.
GUGGAUUAGUGGCGAACGGGUGAGUAACACGUGGGCAAUCUGCCCUUCACUCUGGGACAAGCCCUGGAAACGGGGUCUAAUACCGGAUAACACUCUCCUCCUCCUGGGGGUGGGUUAAAAGCUCCGGCGGUGAAGGAUGAGCCCGCGGCCUAUCANCUUGUUGGUGGGGUAAUGGCCUACCAAGGCGACGACGGGUAGCCGGCCUGAGAGGGCGACCGGCCACACUGGGACUGAGACACGGCCCAGACUCCUACGGGAGGCAGCAGUGGGGAAUAUUGCACAAUGGGCGAAAGCCUGAUGCAGCGACGCCGCGUGAGGGAUGACGGCCUUCGGGUUGUAAACCUCUUUCAGCAGGGAAGAAGCGCAAGUGACGGUACCUGCAGAAGAAGCACCGGCUAACUACGUGCCAGCAGCCGCGGUAAUACGUAGGGUGCGAGCGUUGUCCGGAAUUAUUGGGCGUAAAGAGCUCGUAGGCGGUCUGUCACGUCGGAUGUGAAAGCCCGGGGCUUAACCCCGGGUCUGCAUUCGAUACGGGCAGACUAGAGUGUGGUAGGGGAGAUCGGAAUUCCUGGUGUAGCGGUGAAAUGCGCAGAUAUCANGAGGAACACCGGUGGCGAANGCGGAUCUCUGGGCCAUUACUGACGCUGAAGAGCGAAAGCGUGGGGAGCG